GGGCUCUUCUCUUGAAUCAUUUAUCAAAUGCUACAAGAUUCAGUUUUUAUAUCUGUCAAUAUUAAAUGUCAAAACCAGCUACUCAAAUUUUCGGAAUUACUUUUAUUUUCCUCCAUCAGGUUUUCCCCUGGAAUGAAUCCAGGAUAUGACCUGGAAUAUUUACCAACUAAAAGAUCCUUAAACUUUUCUAAUGUUCAUGAAUCAUGAUGCAGCAGGGUUUUUCAAACUAAAACCAAAUCCCUGGAAUAUUCUCAUUCACAGGCUAAAACAUUCUUAAACUUGCAGUAUUUUCAAACUAAAACCAACUCAAGACUUAGGAUGUAGAUAUUCAGGAUAAAAUAGUAUGAUGAUGAAUGUAAGUGAUGAGCAAGAAACAAAUAACUAAUGUCUUUCACAAUUCAUAAAGUUUUAAUUCUCUUACAGUAUUGGAGGAGACUGAGACAAGAACUCAAAGUAAAAAAAAAAAAAAAAAGAAACGAAGAAAAACUAAAACAUGUUUGGUUGUUAAAAGACAUAGUGAUCAAAGAAGAGAAGUAUUGGAAUCUUACAUGAAGCCCAGAUUCCAAAUCUUAUUCAUAUAAUAUCCUCCAUUUUCUAAGCAACCAAACAUAUCUCCGUUAAAAAAGAAAACCCAAAAGAAACAAAGGAGGAUAAGCCAAGCAUUAGACUUGCCUAGAGGUUAAUAUUUCCUCGAAGCUAUGAUCAUAUCUUCUUAAUUUGGUCCAAUUAUUUAGGCCAUGGCUCAAAUGCAAAACCAUUCUUGGACAGUAUAACAAUACCACUGAACAUGAACAAAAUUUGGCCUCGAAUAUCUUCUGCAAGAAAUUCCAUGGUCAUCAUCUUCUUCUCCUUGAUCCAAAAUGUGAUAAUUGAAACCCCAAAGAAAAUCAAAAAUCGAAAGGGAAAAUAUUUGAGAGGACGAGAGAACCUAGGUAGAGAUGAGGGUGAGAAAAUUCAAGAGUGAAAGGUGAUUACCAUAUAUAAUUGAGGAAUGAAUGUAUAAUAUUAUUUCCUAGUUCUUG
This 1022-nucleotide long non-coding RNA is filed under the name Durio zibethinus. RNAcentral describes it as "long non-coding RNA (DZIB_LNC002284)". The record is from RNAcentral. Lineage: Eukaryota; Viridiplantae; Streptophyta; Magnoliopsida; Malvales; Malvaceae.